GAUCAUGGCUCAGGAUGAACGCUAGCGGCAGGCUUAACACAUGCAAGGUCGAGGGGCAGCCGGGAGAUGUGCUUGCACAUUUUGCCGGCGACCGGCGCACGGGUGCGUAACGCGUAUCCAACCUUCCCGUUACUCAGGGAUAGCCUUCCGAAAGGGAGAUUAAUACCUGAUGGUGUUCAAAUUCCGCAUGUUAUUUGAACUAAAGAUUUAUCGGUAUCGGAUGGGGAUGCGUGACAUUAGAUAGUAGGCGGGUAACGGCCCACCUAGUCUACGAUGUCUAGGGGUUCUGAGAGGAAGGUCCCCCACACUGGAACUGAGACACGGUCCAGACUCCUACGGGAGGCAGCAGUGAGGAAUAUUGGUCAAUGGUCGGAAGACUGAACCAGCCAAGUAGCGUGAAGGAUGAAGGUUCUAUGGAUUGUAAACUUCUUUUAUACGGGAAUAAAACCUCCCACGUGUGGGAGCUUGUAUGUACCGUAUGAAUAAGCAUCGGCUAACUCCGUG
This 504-nucleotide ribosomal RNA is filed under the name uncultured bacterium. RNAcentral describes it as "bacterial SSU rRNA". It matches the Rfam family "Bacterial small subunit ribosomal RNA", at positions 15 to 507 of the family's 1533-position model. The record is from RNAcentral.